This is a long non-coding RNA of Felis catus (domestic cat), 465 nucleotides long. RefSeq lists it as uncharacterized. The transcript has 2 exons. The record is from RefSeq and is a predicted model, not a curated record. NCBI's taxonomy places the organism in Eukaryota, Metazoa, Chordata, Mammalia, Carnivora, Felidae.
CAUGACUUGAGCUGAAGUCGGACACUUAACCAACUAAGCCACCCAGGUGCCCCAAUAUGACUCUUGAUCUCUGAAUCAAAAAGCCCUCCAGAAAGGUUGAUUCCCCUCAGGAUUACAAAACAACUGAAGCAGUUCUAGGUUAAACAUCCCAGCAAGACCAUAACCACAUGUAAAAAUGGAUUAUAUCUCCUGGUGUCUCCUUCCUAGAAUGAGGAACUCUUUCCCAGAAGACCAAGAGUAGACUUACUUCAGUUCUCAUUGGGUAGAAACUGGUGACAUACCCUCUCCUGAAUAAGUCACUGAUAAGGAGAAUGGAACUACCAGGAAGAGUAAUAGUAAUAGCUAAGUCUUAAACCAGUCUGGAUUUUAUCCUAGAGUAAACAUGAGGAUUCUACCAGUAAGGAAGAAGUUGAGGUGGGGUGGAUCUUGGCAGGCAAUCAAUAAAUAGUAUCUGGUAAUACUGAA